ACUCGAGUGGCGAACGGGUGAGUAACACGUGGGUGAUCUGCCCUGCACUUCGGGAUAAGCUUGGGAAACUGGGUCUAAUACCGGAUAGGAGCCAUCUUUAGUGUGGUGGUUGGAAAGUUUUUUCGGUGUAGGAUGAGCUCGCGGCCUAUCAGCUUGUUGGUGGGGUAAUGGCCUACCAAGGCGGCGACGGGUAGCCGGCCUGAGAGGGUGGACGGCCACAUUGGGACUGAGAUACGGCCCAG
RNAcentral lists this ribosomal RNA (242 nucleotides) under uncultured Actinomycetales bacterium. RNAcentral's name for it is "partial 16S ribosomal RNA". It matches the Rfam family "Bacterial small subunit ribosomal RNA", at positions 89 to 334 of the family's 1533-position model. Lineage: Bacteria; Bacillati; Actinomycetota; Actinomycetes; Actinomycetales. The record is from RNAcentral.